UUCAAGUGAGUUAUCAUUUGAUCGACUUGUGUACAACUCUGAGCGGUGGAUCACUCGGCUCGUGUG
RNAcentral lists this ribosomal RNA (66 nucleotides) under Heterophyidae sp. WYAK-2013b. Its description in RNAcentral is "partial 5.8S ribosomal RNA". Lineage: Eukaryota; Metazoa; Platyhelminthes; Trematoda; Opisthorchiida; Heterophyidae. The record is from RNAcentral.